CAGCCGCCACGGGAAUACGUAGGUGGCAAGCGUUGUCCGGAAUUAUUGGGCGUAAAGCGCGCGCAGGUGGUUUAAUAAGUCUGAUGUGAAAGCCCACGGCUCAACCGUGGAGGGUCAUUGGAAACUGUUAAACUUGAGUGCAGGAGAGAAAAGUGGAAUUCCUAGUGUAGCGGUGAAAUGCGUAGAGAUUAGGAGGAACACCAGUGGCGAAGGCGGCUUUUUGGCCUGUAACUGACACUGAGGCGCGAAAGCGUGGGGAGCAAACAGGAUUAGAUACCCGCGUAGUCCCUGUCUCUUAUAC
RNAcentral lists this ribosomal RNA (301 nucleotides) under uncultured bacterium. Its description in RNAcentral is "partial 16S ribosomal RNA". It matches the Rfam family "Bacterial small subunit ribosomal RNA", at positions 509 to 807 of the family's 1533-position model. The record is from RNAcentral.